Cynara cardunculus var. scolymus (artichoke) is the source of this 940-nucleotide long non-coding RNA. RefSeq lists it as uncharacterized. Lineage: Eukaryota; Viridiplantae; Streptophyta; Magnoliopsida; Asterales; Asteraceae. The transcript is spliced from 4 exons. The record is from RefSeq and is a predicted model, not a curated record.
UGUCUCGUAUGUUCGAUUUAAGGCUUGAAGAUUCAUCGAGUUACGGUAGGCGACUUCAGUUUAGGGAUUGUGGAUUCAUCGAGUUAUGUUUGGUGACUUCGGUUUAGGGCUUGUGGAUUCAUCGAGUUACGAUAGGCGACUUCGAUUUAGGGCUUGAGGAUUCAUCACAGAUUCAUUGGUUGAGAUGAGUUUUCACAUACCCAAUUCCAACAUUCAGUUUUUUGGGGAUGAAAACAUGUCUUCUGCAGAUGUAAGUUUGUGCAUUUCUUAAUUGCAACAUUUGCUGCUAUGCAUCAUUUUUUCUAAUAUGUUGACUGUGUUUUAUUAGGUAUUCCAAGAGAAUAUAACGUCAAUAGUAGUUUUUGAGAUUGGAGGUGAUGAAGCUGUUGUCACAUUUGAGACAGUCACAAUUCUUACUCCAUGCUGAACACAUAAUCUACAAUGAGUAAAGGGAUACAACACCGUGAUAGCUCAUGGAGAAGCUUUAAGAACUGAGCAUCUUAAGGACCAUGAAUAAUAUCUAAUGUGUUCAUAUUGGUUGAACUUGGAAUGAACUUGGCAAUUUCUAAUUUCAACUUCAACAAAAGUUGAUAAAGAGACGGGGCAAGGUGUUAGCGCCUCUGUUUUUCGAGCCAAGUGUAUCACCAACAAUGAGAUUGUGGCUAUCAAGGUUCUGGAUUUUGAACGAGGAAACUGCGAUUUGGUAAAUACGGAUUCUGUUUCUCCAAUGCUAUUAUAUUCUCUCACGAUACAUUAUGCAUAUGCAAUACUUUCAUGGUGCCAGAUGAAUAUGCAAUUUCCAGAUACAAUACUUUCAUGUUGCGAGAUCAACAUGCAAUUUCUUUUUUGUAAUUUCUUCCGAUAUUGUUUGUUCAAUUGAGUUCAGAACAAUGUGUAAUUUAGAUUCAUAUCUGGAUAAUAAGUUUUACUCAAAUUUGGU